AGCUUGCUUGUUGCUGGGGAAAAGACUUGCUGCUUUGUGUUUCAUUUGAUGAAGAGCUUCUUUUCAUUUAGUCAGUCACUUAUUUCCAGAGAUUUCCUGGUGAUGUUGCCUCACAUUUAUUUGUGGAAAUGCCAGUAUGUUUUAAGCUUGCAGCUUCCAUAAGUCAGGAUUCCAGUCACAGCUUAGCUGGAUCCUCUCAGAAGGCUACGAUCAAGGUGUCAGCCAGACUGAGUUCUCAUCAGAGGCUCGACUAGGAGAGGAUCUGCUUCCAAGUUCCCUCAGGUUGUUGGAAGGAUUCAUUUUCUUGUGGCUAAGCUCACAGGAGCUUUCUUCUUCAAGGGCAUCAGGAGAGUGGAGAGCGAGUCUACUCAAAGACUUCUAUACAAAUCAUAAGACAUCAAGUACUCUUCAACUGCCUAUUGGGAGACAAUUUCCACAGCUCUCUCAUGUUUCUGCACAACUUGUAAGCAAGACAAGACUCUCUUAUCUUCUGGACUCUAUUUUCAAGAAUACUCAUAUAGUGAACAGUGUCUUCUUCCUGAGCGAAGGGCAUAAAUGCUACUUUCCAUUUUAAAAGAUUCAAGUUCCCUAAGCUCGGAAUUCUUCUGUAAUGCAACCCAUUGUGUGUGCAGGUAUCACCUGGCAUUCUUCCCAUUACCCUGUGGGAAUUGGAGCUCAGGGAACCUUCAUAGAAAUUCUGAUAGUCUAGCUACUGCUAUUUCUAUGAGUAAUAAAUUGUUUCUGACCUAGAAGUCUUGUGUCUUCUGCUGGCACCCAUGAAAUUAUGAGGCUAAAUUGUUAGAUUACAAGUGAGGUAAAAUCUUGGACGCUUCCCAGUUCUUGACACUGACUAAAAUACAUGCAUAUUCGUUUUAUCAAGUCAGUUUGAAAAAAAAUCUAUGAAUUAAAAUAAUUACAAAAUUCUAAGGACUGAAUUUGUAAUAUAUUGGAUGAACAAAACCCUCUACCUUGGUUCUGAAAUUCUUGAUAGUUGAGAUAUGUGUAACAUUUGUAAUUUGAAAUACACAAGUAAUUCUCUAUUUAAAAGGUCAUAUAUCCAAAGUAUUGAAAAAUCUAGAAUACAUUAAACUUUAGCUAUCCAUGGUGAAAGGCAGUGGCAAAACAGCUGCAGAAAAGCUGAAACUAGAUUCAAUUAAAUCUUUGUGCCAAAACCAAGUGCACAAAAAUCUCCCAAAGCUGUUAAAACUAUACAGCUUAUUUGCUAUAAAUUUUAUAAAUGGUUAAAUAAAACAAGUUUUGAAGUAAUUUGGUAAAUUGACAAAUUUUUCACUCAUUGAUUUGUUGUAGCUAAUGAGGGAUGGUGGGGAGUGGAGAAGGGUUCAGAGAACUUGGGAAGGAUAUAAAAAUGGAGGUAUGUGGGGCAAAUGCCCCCAACUACAUGUUUUAAUCAAGAACACCAGCCUAUGAUCAAGGGAAUUUUCAUAUACAGAUGAGAGCUAGUCUCACUUGAUCUUUCUGCAUUAAAACUGUUACAAAGCAACUUCUUUAUCAAAUGAAUACAAUCACAUUUAGUAGAGGCUCUAGUUAAGACCUGAGGCUAUACUGACCUGGGUUAGAGACCUGGCUUUUACAUUUUUACCUAAUCUCUCUAAGCCUUAAUUUCUCAGUUUUAAAAGUGCAGGUAAUCAUAGCAUGUGUUUCCCAAGGAUGUUGUAAAGAUUAGUGUCAGGAUGGCUGAGUGGUGUAAGGCACCAGACCCAAGGAUGUUGUAAGGAUUAAUUGAAAUAUCCACUUGAAUUGCUUAGCAUGAUACCUGCUAUGUAGAAAGUGCUUGAUAGCCUUAACAAUAUAUAUCAUUAAGAAAUUUCCUUGGAAUGGGAAUUUCAAACCACUUUAUCAAAUAUACUUACUUCCUCACUUACUUUUGUGGUUUGGUAGCUUUUUCUUUACACAUUUAGGAGGUGGGGAAGCACAGAGAUAUAGCACUUUCUUUUUUUUUUCUUUGAGACAGAGUCUCGCCCUGUCACCCAGGCUGGAGUGCAGUGGCGCCAUCUUGGCUCACUGCAACCUCCGCCUCCCAGGUUCAAGCUAUUCUCCUGCUUCAGCUUCCUGAGUAGCUGGGACUACAGGUGCACGCCACCAAGCCCGGCUAAUUUUUGUAUUUUUAGUAGAGAAGGGGUUUCACCAUGUUGGCCAGGAUGGUCUCGAUCUCCUGACCUCGUGAUCCACCCGCCUUGGCCUCCCAAAGUGCUAGGAUAACCGGUGUAAGCCACCGCACCUGGCCAGAUAUAGCACUUUCUAAAAGGUCUAUAAAUCUUUCUAAAGAUUAAUAUUGAGUGGGAUCAAUGUGUUUUAGGGAAUCCAGAUACUGCACACCACUUUGCAAAUGUUUAGAUUUUAGCAGAACAACAAAUGGACUUUGCAAAGACUGUCUUUUAAUUAUUAAACCUCUAUUUAUUAAAAAGAAAUUAGGCCAGGCACAGUGGCUCACGCCUGUAAUCCCAGAACUUUGGGAGGCCGAGGUGGGUGGAUCACCUGAGGUCAGGAGUUCAAGACCAGCCUGGCCAACAUGGUGAGACCACAUCUCUACUACAAAUACAAAAAUUAGUCGGGCAUGGUGGCAGGCACCUGCAAUCUCAGCUACUUGGGAGGCUGAAUGAAUUUACAGGUAGGAAGGCACACAUUAUAUAAGUUAAAAUUCAGUUCAACUAUGAGUGACAGAAAACCCUAAUGAGUGGUAGCUUAAACAUACAAUGUUUACUCCCUCAAACAAAAUGUCUGCCUGAUAUGUAGCUGAUGUGAGGCUCCAUGGUGUCAGGGUCCCAGGUUUCUUUUAUCUAUGGCUUUGCCAUCUUUAUCACAUGAACCAUAAUGACUGCUUGAGUUUCUUAUGGUCUAAAAUGGUUUCUUGAGUUUCCUAUCCCCAUCCAGUCAGGAAG
This is a long non-coding RNA of Homo sapiens (human), 2900 nucleotides long. Ensembl annotates it as long intergenic non-protein coding RNA 1204. The record is from Ensembl. NCBI's taxonomy places the organism in Eukaryota, Metazoa, Chordata, Mammalia, Primates, Hominidae.